This 735-nucleotide ribosomal RNA is filed under the name uncultured Fusobacterium sp. RNAcentral describes it as "bacterial SSU rRNA". It matches the Rfam family "Bacterial small subunit ribosomal RNA", at positions 28 to 776 of the family's 1533-position model. The record is from RNAcentral. Lineage: Bacteria; Fusobacteriati; Fusobacteriota; Fusobacteriia; Fusobacteriales; Fusobacteriaceae.
GAUGAACGCUGACAGAAUGCUUAACACAUGCAAGUCAACUUGAAUUUGGGUUUUUAACUUAGAUUUGGGUGGCGGACGGGUGAGUAACGCGUAAAGAACUUGCCUCACAGCUAGGGACAACAUUUAGAAAUGAAUGCUAAUACCUGAUAUUAUGAUUUUAAGGCAUCUUAGAAUUAUGAAAGCUAUAAGCACUGUGAGAGAGCUUUGCGUCCCAUUAGCUAGUUGGAGAGGUAACAGCUCACCAAGGCGAUGAUGGGUAGCCGGCCUGAGAGGGUGAACGGCCACAAGGGGACUGAGACACGGCCCUUACUCCUACGGGAGGCAGCAGUGGGGAAUAUUGGACAAUGGACCGAGAGUCUGAUCCAGCAAUUCUGUGUGCACGAUGAAGUUUUUCGGAAUGUAAAGUGCUUUCAGUUGGGAAGAAAAAAAUGACGGUACCAACAGAAGAAGUGACGGCUAAAUACGUGCCAGCAGCCGCGGUAAUACGUAUGUCACAAGCGUUAUCCGGAUUUAUUGGGCGUAAAGCGCGUCUAGGUGGUUAUAUAAGUCUGAUGUGAAAAUGCAGGGCUCAACUCUGUAUUGCGUUGGAAACUGUGUAACUAGAGUACUGGAGAGGUAAGCGGAACUACAAGUGUAGAGGUGAAAUUCGUAGAUAUUUGUAGGAAUGCCGAUGGGGAAGCCAGCUUACUGGACAGAUACUGACGCUGAAGCGCGAAAGCGUGGGUAGCAAACAGG